Molecule: ribosomal RNA, 326 nt
Filed under: uncultured marine cyanobacterium
Lineage: Bacteria; Bacillati; Cyanobacteriota
Description: bacterial SSU rRNA
Rfam family: Bacterial small subunit ribosomal RNA
Source: RNAcentral
CGGAAGGUGCAAGCGUUAUCCGGCUUUAUUGGGUUUAAAGGGUCCGUAGGUGGACCAUUAAGUCAGAAGUGAAAGCCCGCGGCUCAACCGCGGAACUGCCUUUGAUACUGGUGGUCUUGAGUGUGCUCGAAGUUGGCGGAAUAUGACAUGUAGCGGUGAAAUGCUUAGAUAUGUCAUAGAACACCGAUUGCGAAGGCAGCCAACUAGGUCACAACUGACACUGAUGGACGAAAGCGUGGGGAGCGAACAGGAUUAGAUACCCCUGUAGUCCUGGCCGUAAACGAUGAACACUAGUGUCGGGGGAAUCGACCCCCUCCGGUGUCUUA